AGAGUUUGAUCCUGGCUCAGAUUGAACGCUGGCGGCGUGCUUAACACAUGCAAGUCGAACGGGAACUCUGAACUGAAGGUUCGCUGGAUGUUUAGAAAUUCUAGUGGCGGACGGGUGAGUAACGCGUGGGUAACCUGCCUAUAAGACGUGAACAACAGUUAGAAAUGACUGCUAAUACACGAUAAGCACACAGUAUCGCAUGAUAUAGUGUGAAAAGAAUUUCGCUUAUAGAUGGACCCGCGUUUGAUUAGCCAGUUGGUGGGGUAACGGCCUACCAAAGCAACGAUCAAUAGCCGGCCUGAGAGGGCGAUCGGCCACAUUGGGACUGAGACACGGCCCAAACUCCUACGGGAGGCAGCAGUGGGGAAUAUUGGACAAUGGGGGCAACCCUGAUCCAGCAACGCCGCGUGAGUGAUGAAGUAUCUUGGUAUGUAAAGCUCUAUCAGUAGGUAUGAAACAAGACAGCCUAACUAAGAAGCCCCGGCUAACUACGUGCCAGCAGCCGCGGUAAUACGUAGGGGGCAAGCGUUAUCCGGAUUUACUGGGUGUAAAGGGAGCGUAGACGGAAUGGCAAGUCUGAAGUGAAAACCCACGGCUCAACCGUGGACCUGCUUUGGAAACUGUUAAUCUAGAGUACUGGAGGGGUAAGCGGAAUUCCUAGUGUAGCGGUAAAAUGCGUAGAUAUUAGGAAGAACACCAGAGGCGAAGGCGGCUUACUGGACAGUUACUGACGUUGAGGCUCGAAAGCGUGGGGAGCAAACAGGAUUAGAUACCCUGGUAGUCCACGCUGUAAACGAUGAAUACUAGACGUUGGGCGGGGUUAACCUGCUCAGUGUCGCAGCAAACGCGAUAAGUAUUCCACCUGGGGAGUACGUUCGCAAGAAUGAAACUCAAAGGAAUUGACGGGGACCCGCACAAGCGGUGGAGCAUGUGGUUUAAUUCGACGCAACGCGAAGAACCUUACCUGAACUUGACAUCCCCUUGAAUAGGUAUGUAAUGUAUCUAGUCUUCGGACAAGGGAGACAGGUGGUGCAUGGUUGUCGUCAGCUCGUGUCGUGAGAUGUUGGGUUAAGUCCCGCAACGAGCGCAACCCUUAUGUAUAGUAGCCAUCAUUCAGUUGGGCACUCUAUACAGACUGCCGAGGUUAACUCGGAGGAAGGUGGGGAUGACGUCAAAUCAUCAUGCCCCUUACGUCCAGGGCUACACACGUGCUACAAUGGCGUAAACAAAGAGAAGCAAAGGAGUGAUCCGGAGCAAAUCUCAAAAAAUGCGUCUCAGUUCGGAUUGAAGUCUGCAACUCGACUUCAUGAAGUCGGAAUCGCUAGUAAUCGCGAAUCAGAAUGUCGCGGUGAAUACGUUCCCGGGUCUUGUACACACCGCCCGUCACACCAUGGGAGCUUUAAAUACCCGAAAUCAGUGUCCUAACUUAAUUGAGGGAGCUGCUGAAGGUAGGUAAAGUGACUGGGGUGAAGUCGUAACAAGGUAGCC
This 1488-nucleotide ribosomal RNA is filed under the name uncultured rumen bacterium. Its description in RNAcentral is "bacterial SSU rRNA". It matches the Rfam family "Bacterial small subunit ribosomal RNA". The record is from RNAcentral.